RNAcentral lists this small RNA (27 nucleotides) under Bombyx mori (domestic silkworm). RNAcentral describes it as "ovarian small RNA-33158". The record is from RNAcentral. Lineage: Eukaryota; Metazoa; Arthropoda; Insecta; Lepidoptera; Bombycidae.
UGAUUGUUCUGCGAUGAAUGUAUGAAU